Molecule: non-coding RNA, 72 nt
Organism: Ameiurus melas (black bullhead)
Lineage: Eukaryota; Metazoa; Chordata; Actinopteri; Siluriformes; Ictaluridae
Source: the annotation of a GenBank genome assembly
GGCAUAGUGGUUUAGUGGUUAGCAUGUUUGCCUCACACCUUUGGGGUUGGGGUUCGAAUCCUGCCUUUGCCC